Cotesia glomerata is the source of this 1147-nucleotide long non-coding RNA. RefSeq lists it as uncharacterized. The transcript has 3 exons. The record is from RefSeq and is a predicted model, not a curated record. NCBI's taxonomy places the organism in Eukaryota, Metazoa, Arthropoda, Insecta, Hymenoptera, Braconidae.
UACAACAUAAAUUUUUAUUCACGUCUCAACAAUAUCUUAACUUAAAGCAUAUCUGAUAUCUACGCAAAGUCGUAUUAUAUUCAGAGAAAUUUGUAUUCCGCGAGGCUCGCAUCUCGUUCGCAAACCGCGUACCACCAGGCGGAACAGGAUCGAUUUUGUGUGCCACUUGCCAGUCGAUGCCGAUGCCAUGCACCCGCUACCCAGGAAAUAAAGAUAAAAAAGGACAAUCGAUCAGGAUGGACACCCGCUGAGCGCAUGGCAAGAAUCGAUUGGAGGCGAUAACUCGACACGUCGUGUCUUGAUUCCUUGCUGGCACCGGCAAUAGCAAUAGCAAUAGUAAAAGCAACAGCAACAGGAAUAGCAAUCGCGAUGGCAAUAGUGUAGCAGAGUAGAGACAGAAUAGAAUAGAAUAUAGAAGCAUCGUAUUUGUCCCGAUUAAAAAACUGGAUCAAAGCAAAGGAUUUAUUGGUACAACAAAUAGUUUCCGUUUACAUGAAAUGUAGUUCUUUUAUGAAAUGGGUGCCUCCCAGCAAGCCGCAGGAGAGUCACCCAGCAGAACUGAUGGUACAGAGAGCUGAUGGUAGUCGUCCAUAGUUUGCGGAGUGGUCAGAGCGAGCAUCUGAAGGGUAUACAGUACAUCUAUUUGUGAGUAGACCAUAGAGGCGACACACACAUUGGUAUGUCGUACUAGUGGGGCAAUCACGACACACAAGGACAGACAUUGUAUUGGCAGAGAGCUCGAAUGAGGCCCCAUAGACCCGUAACGAAGGGGGAACUUAUUGACUUUGGCUGGGUGCAUUUUCCGCUAUCAAAUUGGGUGAGGCGGGGACACAACAGGGGCCAGCGGGAGGUCAAAUAAAGGGAGAAAGAGAGGAAUGGAGAAGGUUAUAAGCGGUCACGACAUGUGUCGUGCUUAGUAGCACUAUGUAAUGGCUUUUUCGUCCUUAUGUAUCUUGCCAAACGACCUAACCACCUACUCAUACUCAUACUCAUACUCAUAUACCGCACUGGUACUGUACGCUUGUUUAUAUACCAGCGUUUUAUUUAUUUAAUACCUAAUGCGCUUGACCGUAAAUAUCGAUAUGCGCUCUUCAAAGGACAUAUUUCUCUUCUAUUUGAUGGAGUAAUUUAUUAAUUUUUUUUUAUC